RNAcentral lists this ribosomal RNA (451 nucleotides) under uncultured bacterium. RNAcentral's name for it is "SSU rRNA". It matches the Rfam family "Bacterial small subunit ribosomal RNA", at positions 26 to 468 of the family's 1533-position model. The record is from RNAcentral.
AGAACGAACGCUGGCGGCGUGGAUAAGACAUGCAAGUCGGACGCGAUUUAUCCGGUUAGCAAUAACUGGGUGGAUUGAGUGGCGAAAGGGUGCGUAACACGUGGGAAUUUACCAAGAAGUGGGGGAAUAGCUCGACGAAAGUCGAAUUAAUACCGCAUGUGAUCGUAAGAUCAAAGCCGGGGACCGCAAGGCCUGGCGCUUUUUGAGAAGCCCGCGGCCCAUCAGCUAGUUGGUGAGGUAAUGGCUCACCAAGGCUAUGACGGGUAGCUGGUCUGAGAGGACGACCAGCCACACUGGAACUGAGACACGGUCCAGACACCUACGGGUGGCAGCGAGUCGAGAAUUUUUCACAAUGGGGAACCCUGAUGGAGCGACGCCGCGUGGAGGAUGAGGUUCUUGGAUUGUAAACUCCUGUCACUGCAGAACAAGAUACGCAGUUAACAGCCGCGUA